CCUACGGGAGGCAGCAGUGGGGAAUAUUGCACAAUGGGGGAAACCCUGAUGCAGCGACGCCGCGUGAGUGAAGAAGUAUUUCGGUAUGUAAAGCUCUAUCAGCAGGGAAGAAGAAAGAAGGUACCUGACUAAGAAGCCCCGGCUAACUACGUGCCAGCAGCCGCGGUAAGACGUAGGGGGCAAGCGUUCUCCGGAUUUACUGGGUGUAAUGGGAGCGUAGACGGCUGUGCAAGUCUGCAGUGAAAGCCCAGGGCUCAACCCUGGGACUGCUUUGGAAACUGUGGAGCUAGAGUGCUGGAGAGGUAAGUGGAAUUCCUAGUGUAGCGGUGACAUGCGUCGAUAUUAGGAGGAACACCAGUGGCGAAGGCGGCUUACUGGACAGUAACUGACGUUGCGGCUCGACAGCGUGGGGAGCAAACAGGAUUAGAUACCCGAGUAGUC
Molecule: ribosomal RNA, 441 nt
Filed under: uncultured bacterium
Lineage: Bacteria
Description: partial 16S ribosomal RNA
Rfam family: Bacterial small subunit ribosomal RNA
Source: RNAcentral